GUGCUCGCAUAGGCAGCACACAGACUAAAGCUGAAGCAAUACAGAGAAGGUUAGCAUGGCCCCUGCGCAAGGAUGACACACAUAUUCGUGAAGCAUUCCAUAUUUAA
This is a small nuclear RNA of Onychomys torridus (southern grasshopper mouse), 107 nucleotides long. NCBI's taxonomy places the organism in Eukaryota, Metazoa, Chordata, Mammalia, Rodentia, Cricetidae. The record is from RefSeq and is a predicted model, not a curated record.